AUUGAACGCUGGCGGCAGGCCUAACACAUGCAAGUCGAGCGGAUGAAGGGAGCUUGCUCCUGGAUUCAGCGGCGGACGGGUGAGUAAUGCCUAGGAAUCUGCCUGGUAGUGGGGGAUAACGUCCGGAAACGGGCGCUAAUACCGCAUACGUCCUGAGGGAGAAAGUGGGGGAUCUUCGGACCUCACGCUAUCAGAUGAGCCUAGGUCGGAUUAGCUAGUUGGUGGGGUAAAGGCCUACCAAGGCGACGAUCCGUAACUGGUCUGAGAGGAUGAUCAGUCACACUGGAACUGAGACACGGUCCAGACUCCUACGGGAGGCAGCAGUGGGGAAUAUUGGACAAUGGGCGAAAGCCUGAUCCAGCCAUGCCGCGUGUGUGAAGAAGGUCUUCGGAUUGUAAAGCACUUUAAGUUGGGAGGAAGGGCAUUAAGUUAAUACCUUGCUGUUUUGACGUUACCAACAGAAUAAGCACCGGCUAACUUCGUG
RNAcentral lists this ribosomal RNA (484 nucleotides) under uncultured bacterium. Its description in RNAcentral is "partial 16S ribosomal RNA". It matches the Rfam family "Bacterial small subunit ribosomal RNA", at positions 30 to 507 of the family's 1533-position model. The record is from RNAcentral.